GUUUAUGAAAUAACCAGAAUUACGUUUACUAGGACUUUCGGUACAUGACAGAUGCUAAAAGUCGUUCAAGAUUCUCAGGGUGGGUAGGAUAACAAGCUAUCUUUAUAGAUGUUAUGCUUAAAUAUCUCUCGACGUACUAAAACAUUUAAUUCCCUAAUCCUUUAGGACUUACAGAAUUUCUAUUUACUGCCAAGAUUUUACCUCAGGUUAACCAACCUUGUUAUAGAACUGAUUAUUAAAUAAAGUAUUUUUGAGUCCCUGUUGAUAAUUCCCUCCCUACUAUAUUUGAUUUCUUUCUCAAGCAAAUCAAAGUAGGUAUGUCUGCUGUUUGCAACCAACAAACGUUAAUUAAAACUUUGGAAUUAUCAAGAAAUCCUACCACCUUUUUAAUCUU
This 394-nucleotide long non-coding RNA is filed under the name Capsicum annuum. Its description in RNAcentral is "long non-coding RNA (CANN_LNC004969)". Lineage: Eukaryota; Viridiplantae; Streptophyta; Magnoliopsida; Solanales; Solanaceae. The record is from RNAcentral.